This 497-nucleotide ribosomal RNA is filed under the name uncultured bacterium. RNAcentral describes it as "partial 16S ribosomal RNA". It matches the Rfam family "Bacterial small subunit ribosomal RNA", at positions 28 to 507 of the family's 1533-position model. The record is from RNAcentral.
GACGAACGCUGGCGGCGUGCCUAAUACAUGCAAGUAGAACGCUGAAGAGAGGAGCUUGCUCUUCUUGGAUGAGUUGCGAACGGGUGAGUAACGCGUAGGUAACCUGCCUUGUAGCGGGGGAUAACUAUUGGAAACGAUAGCUAAUACCGCAUAACAAUAGGUGACACAUGUCAUUUAUUUGAAAGGGGCAAUUGCUCCACUACAAGAUGGACCUGCGUUGUAUUAGCUAGUAGGUGAGGUAACGGCUCACCUAGGCGACGAUACAUAGCCGACCUGAGAGGGUGAUCGGCCACACUGGGACUGAGACACGGCCCAGACUCCUACGGGAGGCAGCAGUAGGGAAUCUUCGGCAAUGGGGGCAACCCUGACCGAGCAACGCCGCGUGAGUGAAGAAGGUUUUCGGAUCGUAAAGCUCUGUUCUAAGUCAAGAACGAGUGUGAGAGUGGAAAGUUCACACUGUGACGGUAGCUUACCAGAAAGAGACGGCUAACUACGUG